UGCAGGAGUAGAUAAAUGAGCUACUAAAGUGAAGGAAUCCAGAACCUCAGGGGUAAGGUAAACUGUCAUGGAGUUACCUCUAUGAGGAUUGUUAUGAGCAUCAGGGUGGACUGAAGCAAUGUGAAGCACUAGACAGCCCAUGGUCUGAGAUGAUUAAAGGUUAUGGGCAAUCUACUCAGUCCGGUCAGCAGUCAGCCUCACAGAGUCUCAUACAUCUUCACGUGGUGUGAGAGAUUUCCUGAGCAUUCUAAGAGGAGGAGAGAAGGAGCUGAGGAUGCAGACAGGGGUGCUAACAUAGAGGCUGAGGAGCACAGAGGAGCAGGUGGGUACCAUGCUGGGUACCA
Long non-coding RNA from Chinchilla lanigera (long-tailed chinchilla), 344 nucleotides. RefSeq lists it as uncharacterized. The transcript is spliced from 3 exons. NCBI's taxonomy places the organism in Eukaryota, Metazoa, Chordata, Mammalia, Rodentia, Chinchillidae. The record is from RefSeq and is a predicted model, not a curated record.